This 380-nucleotide ribosomal RNA is filed under the name uncultured eukaryote. Its description in RNAcentral is "partial 18S ribosomal RNA". It matches the Rfam family "Eukaryotic small subunit ribosomal RNA", at positions 592 to 976 of the family's 1831-position model. The record is from RNAcentral.
CAAUAGCGUAUAUUAAAGUUGUUGCGGUUAAAAAGCUCGUAGUUGGAUUUCUGCUGAGGACGAUCGGUCCGCCCACUGGGUGAGUAUCUGGCUCGGCCUUGGCAUCUUCUUGGAGAACGUUGCUGCACUUGACUGUGUGGUGCGGUAUCCAGGACUUUUACUUUGAGGAAAUUAGAGUGUUUCAAGCAGGCGCACGCCUUGAAUACAUUAGCAUGGAAUAAUAAGAUAGGACCUUGGUUCUAUUUUGUUGGUUUCUAGAGCUGAGGUAAUGAUUAAUAGGGAUAGUUGGGGGCAUUCGUAUUUAACUGCCAGAGGUGAAAUUCUUGGAUUUGUUAAAGACGGACUACUGCGAAAGCAUUUGCCAAGGAUGUUUUCAUUGA